RNAcentral lists this ribosomal RNA (497 nucleotides) under uncultured bacterium. RNAcentral describes it as "partial 16S ribosomal RNA". It matches the Rfam family "Bacterial small subunit ribosomal RNA", at positions 28 to 507 of the family's 1533-position model. The record is from RNAcentral.
GACGAACGCUGGCGGCGUGCCUAAUACAUGCAAGUUGAGCGCUGAAGGUUGGUACUUGUACCAACUGGAUGAGCAGCGCACGGGUGAGUAACGCGUGGGGAAUCUGCCUUUUAGCGGGGGACAACAUUUGGAGACGAAUGCUAAUACCGCAUAAAAACUUUAAACACAAGUUUUAAGUUUGAAAGAUGCAAUUGCAUCACUCAAAGAUGAUCCCGCGUUGUAUUAGCUAGUUGGUGAGGUAAAGGCUCACCAAGGCGAUGAUACAUAGCCGACCUGAGAGGGUGAUCGGCCACAUUGGGACUGAGACACGGCCCAAACUCCUACGGGAGGCAGCAGUAGGGAAUCUUCGGCAAUAGACGAAAGUCUGACCGAGCAACGCCGCGUGAGUGAAGAAGGUUUUCGGAUCGUAAAACUCUGUUGGUAGAGAAGAACGUUGGUGAGAGUGGAAAGCUCAUCAAGUGACGGUAACUACCCAGAAAGGGACGGCUAACUACGUG